GAUGAACGCUGGCGGCGUGCUUAACACAUGCAAGUCGAACGAUGAAGCCCAGCUUGCUGGGUGGAUUCGUGGCGAACGGGUGAGUAACACGUGAGUAACCUGCCCUUAACUCUGGGAUAAGCCUGGGAAACUGGGUCUAAUACCGGCUAGGAGCGUCCACCGCAUGGUGGGUGUUGGAAAGAUUUAUCGGUGUUGGAUGGACUCGCGGCCUAUCAGCUUGUUGGUGAGGUAAUGGCUCACCAAGGCGACGACGGGUAGCCGGCCUGAGAGGGUGACCGGCCAGACUGGGACUGAGCCACGGCCCAGACUCCUACGGGAGGCAGCAGUGGGGAAUAUUGCACAAUGGGCGCAAGCCUGAUGCAGCGACGCCGCGUGAGGGAGGACGGCCUUCGGGUUGUAAACCUCUUUCAGUAGGGAAGAAGCGAAAGGGACGGUACCUGCAGAAGAAGCACCGGCUAACUACGUG
This 466-nucleotide ribosomal RNA is filed under the name uncultured bacterium. Its description in RNAcentral is "partial 16S ribosomal RNA". It matches the Rfam family "Bacterial small subunit ribosomal RNA", at positions 28 to 507 of the family's 1533-position model. The record is from RNAcentral.